This 1353-nucleotide long non-coding RNA is filed under the name Homo sapiens (human). Its description in RNAcentral is "HSALNT0118601". Lineage: Eukaryota; Metazoa; Chordata; Mammalia; Primates; Hominidae. The record is from RNAcentral.
GCAAAUGGUGUGGUAGAGUUCACAGUGAUAGGGGAGAGAAAUUGAAGAUCAAGCCUUACUUAAUUCUUAGCUCAUUUGGACAUGAUAACACGGGGAGUGGAAAGAACUGAUGGUCAAGAGACCCGAUCAUACUUCACCAUUAGGGGGAUACCAGAGGACAACUAGAAGAAAGGCAGAAUUCUCAUCAAUCCCAGGAGUAACAAGACCACCCUCACCACUGUGUCUGUGGAAACCACUUGGGCGUAAUAAUGAAGCCUUUCUGUCCCUCCCAGCCAGGACACUAUCAACAGAAGCCUAGAGAGGAGUCAGAAUUUCUACCCUCAUCUAUUACUGGGAUAUUUUGGUGGUCCAGGCUGGGUGGAUAAUGGGCUCAACUGAAACCCAGUGGGGACCUGAAUUUUACCUUUUCCUAACAGUAAUGAGUUGGUGCCCUACCCCUGCCACUAUUACAGCAGUGUCAGAGAAAAUCAGCUAGAAACAUAAGUUUUUACGUAAGAUCUAGAAUCUUGUAAAAUAAUAAAUAGUAUGGGUUUAAAUUGAUAUCACUCAUUAUACCAAGAACCAGGAAGACCUCAAACUGAAUGAAAAAAAAUAAUAAAUUCUAUGAUCAAGAUGACAGAGAUAUUAUAAUUAUCUGAGAUUUUAAAGCAGCCAUCAUAAAAGUGCUUCAAUGAGCAUUUACAAACAUACUUGAAUCAAAAGAAAAAAUAAAGUUUUAGCAAAGAAAUAAAGGCUUGACAAAUAGAGAAGAUAUAAAGAAGAAAAAAAGGAAUUCGAGAAUCAAAAAAUGUAGCAACCAAAAUAAAAAUUAAAACCAAAAACCCUCAAUUAUAGAUGCCUAUGCAAAUUGAAAGAGACAGAGGAAAGAAUCAGUGAACUGGAAGACAGAAAGAAUAAAUUACCCAGUCUGAACAAUAGAGAAAAAAAGACAAAAAUUGAACAGAGCCUUAUAGCUCUGUGGGGCUAUAAUAAAAAAUGUAACAUUUUGUGUCAUAAUAAUCCUGGGAGGAGAGAAGAAUGAGGGAAGACUGAAAAAAGUACUCAAGGAAACAGUGCCUAAUAAGUUAUCAAAUUUGGCAAAAGGCAUAAAUUUACAAAUUCAGGAACCUAAGUGAACUCCAAAUGCAAUAGAGCCAAGAAAAUAUGCCAAGAUACAUCAUAGUCAAGUAUCUGGAAACUAAAGACAAAGAAAAUACCAUGAAAUCACUGAGAGAAAUAUCAUCAUACUUAUGAAAGAAAAAAAAUACACCUGACAAAGAAUUCCUCUUCAGAAACUUGGAUGCCAGAAAAAAGUGGGACAGCAUUUUCAACUGUUGAAAAGUGAGGAACUGCAACCCCAAAUCCUAUAUCCAG